RNAcentral lists this ribosomal RNA (1428 nucleotides) under Enterococcus durans. RNAcentral's name for it is "bacterial SSU rRNA". It matches the Rfam family "Bacterial small subunit ribosomal RNA". The record is from RNAcentral. Lineage: Bacteria; Bacillati; Bacillota; Bacilli; Lactobacillales; Enterococcaceae.
ACAUGCAAGUCGUACGCUUCUUUUUCCACCGGAGCUUGCUCCACCGGAAAAAGAAGAGUGGCGAACGGGUGAGUAACACGUGGGUAACCUGCCCAUCAGAAGGGGAUAACACUUGGAAACAGGUGCUAAUACCGUAUAACAAUCGAAACCGCAUGGUUUUGAUUUGAAAGGCGCUUUCGGGUGUCGCUGAUGGAUGGACCCGCGGUGCAUUAGCUAGUUGGUGAGGUAACGGCUCACCAAGGCCACGAUGCAUAGCCGACCUGAGAGGGUGAUCGGCCACAUUGGGACUGAGACACGGCCCAAACUCCUACGGGAGGCAGCAGUAGGGAAUCUUCGGCAAUGGACGAAAGUCUGACCGAGCAACGCCGCGUGAGUGAAGAAGGUUUUCGGAUCGUAAAACUCUGUUGUUAGAGAAGAACAAGGAUGAGAGUAACUGUUCAUCCCUUGACGGUAUCUAACCAGAAAGCCACGGCUAACUACGUGCCAGCAGCCGCGGUAAUACGUAGGUGGCAAGCGUUGUCCGGAUUUAUUGGGCGUAAAGCGAGCGCAGGCGGUUUCUUAAGUCUGAUGUGAAAGCCCCCGGCUCAACCGGGGAGGGUCAUUGGAAACUGGGAGACUUGAGUGCAGAAGAGGAGAGUGGAAUUCCAUGUGUAGCGGUGAAAUGCGUAGAUAUAUGGAGGAACACCAGUGGCGAAGGCGGCUCUCUGGUCUGUAACUGACGCUGAGGCUCGAAAGCGUGGGGAGCAAACAGGAUUAGAUACCCUGGUAGUCCACGCCGUAAACGAUGAGUGCUAAGUGUUGGAGGGUUUCCGCCCUUCAGUGCUGCAGCUAACGCAUUAAGCACUCCGCCUGGGGAGUACGACCGCAAGGUUGAAACUCAAAGGAAUUGACGGGGGCCCGCACAAGCGGUGGAGCAUGUGGUUUAAUUCGAAGCAACGCGAAGAACCUUACCAGGUCUUGACAUCCUUUGACCACUCUAGAGAUAGAGCUUCCCCUUCGGGGGCAAAGUGACAGGUGGUGCAUGGUUGUCGUCAGCUCGUGUCGUGAGAUGUUGGGUUAAGUCCCGCAACGAGCGCAACCCUUAUUGUUAGUUGCCAUCAUUUAGUUGGGCACUCUAGCAAGACUGCCGGUGACAAACCGGAGGAAGGUGGGGAUGACGUCAAAUCAUCAUGCCCCUUAUGACCUGGGCUACACACGUGCUACAAUGGGAAGUACAACGAGUCGCGAAGUCGCGAGGCUAAGCUAAUCUCUUAAAGCUUCUCUCAGUUCGGAUUGUAGGCUGCAACUCGCCUACAUGAAGCCGGAAUCGCUAGUAAUCGCGGAUCAGCACGCCGCGGUGAAUACGUUCCCGGGCCUUGUACACACCGCCCGUCACACCACGAGAGUUUGUAACACCCGAAGUCGGUGAGGUAACCUUUUGGAGCCAGC